UUUUGGACAAUGGGCGCAAGCCUGAUCCAGCCAUUCCGCGUGCAGGAUGAAGGCCCUCGGGUUGUAAACUGCUUUUGUACAGAACGAAAAGGUUUCUACUAAUACUAGGAGCUCAUGACGGUACUGUAAGAAUAAGCACCGGCUAACUACGUGCCAGCAGCCGCGGUAAUACGUAGGGUGCAAGCGUUAAUCGGAAUUACUGGGCGUAAAGCGUGCGCAGGCGGUUAUAUAAGUCAGAUGUGAAAUCCCCGGGCUCAACCUGGGAACUGCAUUUGAGACUGUAUAGCUAGAGUACGGCAGAGGGGGAUGGAAUUCCGCGUGUAGCAGUGAAAUGCGUAGAUAUGCGGAGGAACACCGAUGGCGAAGGCAAUCCCCUGGGCCUGUACUGACGCUCAUGCACGAAAGCGUGGGGAGCAAACAGGAUUAGAUACCCUGGUAGUCCACGCCCUAAACGAUGUCAACUGGUUGUUGGGUCUUAACUGACUCAGUAACGAAGCUAACGCGUGAAGUUGAC
Molecule: ribosomal RNA, 514 nt
Filed under: uncultured bacterium
Lineage: Bacteria
Description: bacterial SSU rRNA
Rfam family: Bacterial small subunit ribosomal RNA
Source: RNAcentral